GACGAACGCUGGCGGCGUGCUUAACACAUGCAAGUCGAGCGGUAAGGCCUUUCGGGGUACACGAGCGGCGAACGGGUGAGUAACACGUGGGUGAUCUGCGCUGCACUUCGGGAUAAGCCUGGGAAACUGGGUCUAAUACCGGAUAUGACCUCCUAUCGCAUGGUGGGUGGUGGAAAGAUUUAUCGGUGCAGGAUGGGCCCGCGGCCUAUCAGCUUGUUGGUGGGGUAAUGGCCUACCAAGGCGACGACGGGUAGCCGACCUGAGAGGGUGACCGGCCACACUGGGACUGAGACACGGCCCAGACUCCUACGGGAGGCAGCAGUGGGGAAUAUUGCACAAUGGGCGAAAGCCUGAUGCAGCGACGCCGCGUGAGGGAUGACGGCCUUCGGGUUGUAAACCUCUUUCAGCAGGGACGAAGCGCAAGUGACGGUACCUGCAGAAGAAGCACCGGCUAACUACGUG
This 462-nucleotide ribosomal RNA is filed under the name uncultured bacterium. RNAcentral describes it as "partial 16S ribosomal RNA". It matches the Rfam family "Bacterial small subunit ribosomal RNA", at positions 28 to 507 of the family's 1533-position model. The record is from RNAcentral.